This 1416-nucleotide long non-coding RNA is filed under the name Triticum aestivum (bread wheat). Its description in RNAcentral is "long non-coding RNA (TAES_LNC005496)". Lineage: Eukaryota; Viridiplantae; Streptophyta; Magnoliopsida; Poales; Poaceae. The record is from RNAcentral.
AUGAAGAUAAGAUUGAGGAUUUCCAAGUACAAGAUGUUAGGAAGGAGCCUUGCAAGAGAAGUAGGAUCUACGCUGAGCCUCUUCAACCUGCUAAGGUAAGUCACUGUAUGCAACUCAAUAGUUCAAUUCCUUGUUUGUUUCAGGCAUAGUUAAUUUUCUCUUUUCAAUUGCUUUAUUUGUCCUCAGUUAAUGAGAUGCCCAAAUAAUCAUGCCUGAUGUUUGGUACUUAUAUCACUAUUAGUUGACAUAAUUAAAGGCCUUACCAUUUAAUUACUCUGUCGAAGUGUGCCUGAAGCUUUGAAGUCUAUUAACCAACUAUUAUUGCAUGAGACUCACAAUCUAGUUUAUACUACGCUAAUGAUUGCAUAGUUUUGCCUGCUGUAGUAUGUUUGUAUGAAACCUCUGUUGUUCAUUAUGCUCCCUAAGACUUUAAUUAAGGCACAGAAUGGACAACUGCUUGCUUACUUAUACGCAACAUGUUGUCUAAAUUUGUAACUUGUCUGUGUUUUCGAUUGGGCCCCAACAUCAUGCUCCUCUGGUGAGCUAAGAGGGAUUUCUGUAUGUAGGCUGCACAGACUAUCUUUUUAUAAUUUUUAAAAUAUCGCCUACUUAUGCUUCAUGACGUGUAACAUUUUUUUAAAGUGACGUGUAACAUUAUUGUUAGUCCUGUUUUGCCAUGUAGUACAAAAUAGUGCCUUGUUCGCUUCACUGUUGUAACUAUAUUUUUGCCCUAGUCAUGUGUACUUACAGAAACAUUUCAGGAUGAAGUGACAUCAACACAAAGAUCUGCGAGCAGUGCGCCAUGGCCGUUACCAAAUGAUUAUGGAUUGGAAUUGGAAUGUGCUGAUGUUCUCGAGCAUCAACUAGAGGUGGCAAGACAACGUGUACAUGAUUGUCAACAUAUAAUCAACAAGUUGAGACUGGACAUGCAGGUAUUAGAUGCAGGAGUCAAAAAAAUGAAACAAGACAUUGAGGUAACCAUGAAGGAAUUGGAGAUUUUGCAGACUGAAAUUUGUGCUAUCUGAAUCCGGCCAAUCCUAUUUUCUGAAGAGAUUAUAGUUCAAAUGGAGUUAAGUUGAUGCGCGUCCAUGAUGUAUGAGCUGUAUUUGCCCAGUGUAUGUAAUUUGCUGUUUGUGUAUGCUUUAUUAUCACAUGUGCCGAACCAUAAUGCCCAGUGGGUAUAAUCGGUUGUAAUUUCUUUAUUGUAUAGUGUAGGAUUAUUCUACCUUUCUAUGCCUGGAUCUCUUUGUUGUAUAGUGUAUGCUUUUUAGAGCUGACAGUAUUGAGUAGGAUAAUUCUUUGAAUAUGCUAUAUCAUUCAAACGGGGGCCAACUCGCCCGACCAUGGCCCUUCACGGGUCGUCGGAUCCAUGGGCCUUCUACGUCUCAUAGGAUCCAUGGGCCUCCUACGUCUCAU